GAUGAACGCUGGCGGCGUGCCUAAUACAUGCAAGUAGAACGCUGAAGGAGGAGCUUGCUCUUCUGGAUGAGUUGCGAACGGGUGAGUAACGCGUAGGUAACCUGCCUGGUAGCGGGGGAUAACUAUUGGAAACGAUAGCUAAUACCGCAUGACAACAGUUAUUGCAUGAUAACUGUUUAAAAGGGGCAACUGCUCCACUACCAGAUGGACCUGCGUUGUAUUAGCUAGUUGGUGAGGUAACGGCUCACCAAGGCGACGAUACAUAGCCGACCUGAGAGGGUGAUCGGCCACACUGGGACUGAGACACGGCCCAGACUCCUAUGGGAGGCAGCAGUAGGGAAUCUUCGGCAAUGGACGGAAGUCUGACCGAGCAACGCCGCGGGAGUGAAGAAGGUUUUCGGAUCGUAAAGCUCUGUUGUAAGAGAAGAACGAGUGUGAGAGUGGAAAGUUCACACUGUGACGGUAUCUUACCAGAAAGGGACGGCUAACUACGUG
Molecule: ribosomal RNA, 495 nt
Filed under: uncultured bacterium
Lineage: Bacteria
Description: partial 16S ribosomal RNA
Rfam family: Bacterial small subunit ribosomal RNA
Source: RNAcentral